AAUUGUGGAUUCCAAAGACAGGCAAAAUGAAGUAUUUAGGUCAUUCUGAAUUAAGGAGAGGGGUAGGAGUCUGAGAUUUCAGAGGAAAGGAGUGCAGGUCCCUGGACCAUAAGAAAAGCAGUAUUUGGUAAUUAGAUGCUUGUCCUUUCGUACAUGUAGGUCACCCAGAUAAAGUUUAUCUCUGCUAAUAACCCUUAUUCUACAAAACACCCCAAUUUAGAUUCCUGUGUGUGUGGGUAAGCGAGGGACAGAAGUUUGUCUUGAACCUUCAAGGUCUCAAGUGUCUUCAGGCCAAAAUAAUCCACAUGCCAAAGUGGCACAUUCUAGGGGAUCUGUCCUGAACCCCUUCAGAGUUGAUUAUUAGUUAUUUAUAAAAGUGUCUUUUCAUUCUUUUACAGGUAUCCCCAGUGUCCUCCAAAAAAAGUCAUCUUCUUGUUUCAUCUAUAAUAACAUCUCAAAAAAAAAAUUGACUAUUAAAGAGAAGUCCAGGAGAUGGCCACUGGAGUGAUGAAACCAGCGUCUUAUGGAAAGGUCUCGGCCAAAAACCUGGAAGGGUAGAGGAAAAAAUUGUUUUUCCUUCUUCCUAAUAUAUUUUUCAUUCAUCGCAUUGGAAAUUCAAAAGUCCACCAUCUCGCUCUCUCUUUUUGGUUUGCACCAGGUGUGUGUCACUUCACGUACAGCAUUUAUGACUCAGAAACAGCUCUAUUUCAAGUCCGUGUUUGAUAGCUUAUGUCAGAAAACUAUAUUGGGCAAACGUCAUGGUAAUGAAAAUCUCAGAGGAGAGGAGACUUUGGAGCAGGACAACUUGGCCUUGAAUCUUGGUUAUAAUACCAGCUAUUUGGCAUAAGUCCCUAGUUUCUACACGUGUAAAAUGUGAGUAAUGAUGAUAAUAGCACCUACCUCACAGGAUGUUUUUAAGAUUAAGUGAGAUAACAGAUGAAAAGCACCCAGCAUAUUACUUGAGCGAAACACACUAAAUCUUGAAGAGCCAGUAGAUAUUGCUGUGAUUCUUUCUAGAUCAGUAAACUUCAUGAAGGAGGUGGGGAUGGUGGUAGAGCAGCCAUCUAUUAUAUUUCCAACCCAACCAGCUGCCUCACCAUUAUGUGCUGUGGGCCAGAAGAGCAAAGAGAUUACAG
This 1136-nucleotide long non-coding RNA is filed under the name Canis lupus familiaris (dog). RNAcentral describes it as "lncRNA (ENSCAFG00845000651.1)". Lineage: Eukaryota; Metazoa; Chordata; Mammalia; Carnivora; Canidae. The record is from RNAcentral.